Molecule: long non-coding RNA, 773 nt
Organism: Cornus florida
Lineage: Eukaryota; Viridiplantae; Streptophyta; Magnoliopsida; Cornales; Cornaceae
Exons: 2
Source: RefSeq, a predicted model, not a curated record
CAUGGAUAAAAUGUUAAAAUUUGACAUUUAAAGAACAUUUUUUGUCCCGUGAACAGGCGAGAAGAUUUUCCCCCAACCUCCCGCCAAGUUGGGUACAGUUAAAAUUACACUGAAUAAAAAUAUAUAGAUAAAUAGAAAAUACUCCAUAAAAAACUCUCAUUCACAUAUUUCUAUUACGAAGCCUUGCGAAAAGUAUAUAGGUUUAAAAAAAAAACAAAAAAACGAACGCAGACGAAGCCUCAAACAGAAACGAAGAGGGAGCGACAAAGAAGAGGGGAGCAGCGACCAACGACCGGCGAUCAGCGAGCAGUGAGCGGCGACCAGAGGGGAGCGAUCUGCGAGCAGCGACUGACGAAGACCAGCGACCUGCGAGCAACGACCGACGAAGCAGCGAUCGGCGAGCAGAGACCUGCGAGCAGCGACCGGCGAGCAGCGACCGACGAAGACUAGCGACCGGCGAUCAGCCACGAAGAUCAGCGACCAGUUCUACCAGCGAACGAGCAAGGACGAAGUUACUUGCUUGGAUUUUAUACCAUGGACAGUGAGAUGGUUUUUUGACAAGUGCAGACUGAAAUCCAAGUGUUAGAAGGUUCAUCAAUUUUUCAAUAGAAGUGCUAGGAAAUUAAUGAUUUUCUUGACAAAUGGACUUAGUUGUUUUGGAACAUGGAUAAAUGUUGAAUUGUUUUGGCACAUUGAUAAAUGAUGAAUUGUAAAAAUGUUUUAACUCUUUUGAUAUGUUUAAUUGGGUAUUUCAAGAGUUUGUUUUGGUUAUA